Molecule: long non-coding RNA, 173 nt
Organism: Helianthus annuus (common sunflower)
Lineage: Eukaryota; Viridiplantae; Streptophyta; Magnoliopsida; Asterales; Asteraceae
Exons: 3
Source: RefSeq, a predicted model, not a curated record
GAUCUAUUUUGUUGCUUAUCAUGACGAUGAAUGGGGGGUUCUUGCUCUUGAUGAUACGUUGUUGUUUGAAUUAUUGGUGCUGACUGGUGCUCAAGUUGGAUCAGAUUGGACUUCUGUUUUGAAGAAAAAGGGAGCAAGUUAAGUAAUGAACUAAAGGACAAUAAGGAUGCAAA